Molecule: ribosomal RNA, 215 nt
Filed under: uncultured bacterium
Lineage: Bacteria
Description: partial 16S ribosomal RNA
Rfam family: Bacterial small subunit ribosomal RNA
Source: RNAcentral
UGGGAACCUUCCCUAUGGUUCGGAAUAGCUCAGGGAAACUUGGGGUAAUGCCGGAUAAGCCCUUCGGGGAAAGAUUUAUCGCCAUUGGAUGGGCCCGCGUCGGAUUAGCUAGUUGGUGAGGUAAUGGCUCACCAAGGCGACGACGGGUAGCCGGCCUGAGAGGGUGACCGGCCACACUGGGACUGAGACACGGCCCAGACUCCUACGGGAGGCAG